GGCCAGGGAUCAAACCUGCGUCCUCAUGGAUACUAGUCAGAUUUGUUUCCACUGAGCCACGAUGGAACUCCCAAGAUAAUUAUUAAAACAGCUUCUUCUCACUUUCAAAAGCAGCCCAGUCUGUAUAACAAAUUAUGAGGUCACCCUAAUAUGUCUGUCUCCCUUGACCAGAAUGGAGCAUUAUGAUUACAGGAACAAUAAUUAAUUUAUUUAUCUUCAGUGGUGAUACAGAAAAGGUAAUCAAAUACUUUAGUAAUAAUUAUACACACAAACAACUAAAAGAAAUUUAUUAAAGGCUUAUUUUACUGAUCCCUUUGACAUUCCUAAGAUCUUCAUUAAUCAUUCAGUGAAUACAAAAAUUAAAAUAGAUGGGAGUUCCUGUUGUGGCUCAGUAUAACAAACCCCUCUAAUAUCCAUGAGGAUGCAGGUUCCAUCCCUGGCUUCACUCAGUGGGUUAAAGACCUGUCUUUGCCACAAGCUGUAGGAUGAAGAUGAGGCUCAGAUCCUACGUUGCUAUGGCUUGGUACAGGCUGGCAGCUGCAACUCUUCCAAUUCGACCCCUAGCCUGGGAACCUCCAUAUGCUGUGGGUGCAGCCCUAAAAAAGGCAAAAAAAAAAACAGAAAUAAAAAGAAAAGCUACUGUGAAUACCUCCAUCCAAAAGACAAUUUUAUACUAACAACAAAACUAAAAUAUUACUAUAAUAAAAUAUCCGUACAAUCUUUUAGGUCUGAUUAUAUGGCAGAAAACAGAAUGGAAUAACAUCUUAAAAUUGCUGAGGAGGGAGUUCACUUGUGGUGCAGCAGGUUAAGGAUUUGGCAUUGUCACUGCAGUGGCUCAGAUCACUGCUGUGGCAUGGGUUCAGUCCCUGGCCUGUGAACCUCCACAUGCCACAGGUGUGGCCAAAGGAAAAAAAAAAAAAAAAAAACAAUGCUUAGAGGGAAGUAAGUGCUAAUCCAGAUUUUCAUUCACAACUAAAACAUCAAUCAAGAACAAGAGCUAGGAGUUCCUGCUCUGGUGCAGCGGGUUAAGAAUCCAUCUGCAGCAGUUCAGUUUGCUAAAAAGGCAUGGGUUCAAUCUUUGGCCUGGCACAGUGGGUUAAAGAAUCCAGCAUUGCUGCAGCUGUGGUGUGGGUCACAGCUGCAGCCUGAAUUCAGUCUCUGGCCUGGGAACUUCCAUAUGCUACAAGUGCAGCCAUUUAAAAAAAAAAAAAAAGGGCUAAAUAUUUUCAACAAACAAAAAUCCUAAUUUACCACCAUCAGACCUUUAGUCAAGGAACUUCUGAAGGAUAUACUUCAUGAAGAAGGAACGUGAUUUCAGAACAAAAGCUAACAAGAAAUUGGUAAACGUGGUGAAGUUAAAUAAAUACGAAUUGUAUAAAAAGAAUAAAAUGCUUAAUAAUGUCCUGAAAAGAACAAGGUAGAAUUAUAAUACUGAACGACUAUAACAAAAGGAGUGAUUCAUCCAUAGUGGCCUUCUUCUGGAAACUUGUCUCUUCUACCACCACACCUCCAACCACCCACUUGAUUACUAACUGUUAUCAAAUUAGCUCAGUUGUUGUCCCACACCAUAAAUGAUAGUCCAGAGGUGGGCAACCAGUCCAAGCAGGAACAAACACAAUCUUUAGAAACUACAAAUAGAUUACAAAAGCAAAGAGCAGGAGUCAACAGGUAUACAGUUGUGUUCAUGAAGCACCACAUGCCUUGUUGAUGCCUCCUACUAUUGUCUGAAAUGCUUCCUUCCGCUUUUCUACUUGUCUAAACCAUCUUUGAAGGACCCAGCUUAAGCCUUCCCAUCCCCCUCACCUGGCCAUCCUUCCUUCUAUAAAUGAAACGAAGUGGAAAAUAAUUAACCUCUGUGGACUCUCAGUGUACCAGGAAUUUCACAUACACUACCACUUAACCUUAACUACACUGGAAUGACAGCACUUGCGGUCUCUACACUCAGCACAGCAGUUAUUUUCUUAAAGGAUACUGCCCUACUUAACAGCUUCCUAAACAUUCUAUAUGUUUACAUGUGUUCUCUGUCACCAGAAUAUAACAUUCUCAAAUAUAAGAACUAUGUCUUCCAUGUCAUUCUUACUCCCAUUCAUCUUCUCUACUCCUCCCCUCUCAUUUCGAAAUAUUUCUCAAUCCCUUCUAUCACUACCACAACUACUACUAUUAAUAGAAAAUACUCUUUAUAAUAGUUUGCAUUGUGCUGACACUCUGCUAAAUGCUUUGCAAACACUUCCCUUAAUCCUUACAAUAAUCACAUAAAGUAAAGAUUAUCUCCCAUUUCACAGAGGAAGAAAAAGGCUCGUAGAAUGUAAAGAACUUGCUCUCUCACAGUAAAAUGAACCUAGAUCUAUAAAAUACCACUGUGGACUCCCACACUAUCACAUCCCCACUUGGUUCCCCACUCCCACUCUCACCUGCUUUGGCAGCUAGGUUAAGCGCAGCUGGGCUAAGCUCAAACUACAAUUCCCAGAAUCCUCUUCCCAUAUGAUUUCAGGUUAGAGUUAGUCAAACUGAAGAUGCCAGAGGAUUUCACCAUGUCUCUGCUCUCCCCCAUACUGUGUGUAGCUCUUCUUCCUGAUUGCCAACCCUGCCAACCAAACAGCAACCUCAGGUCUACCACCAAAAGCUCGAAUGAAGACCACAGAAGAGGUAGCAGCUUUCCAUACACUUUCCACCAGCUCUACUGCGUGGUCCCACUCCAGCAGCUGGGCAUAACUGGUUCCUCAGAUUCACCCGCUCCUCAGAGGCAAUUCACCUUCUCUGACUUGCCUACUACACCCCAGCUUCAGGGAGGCUGAUUAGGGACUUCUCUGAUCUCCCAACUGCCCCUUACAGACUCUGAUUUCUGAGUUUCCCCCACAACUCUGUAAGGCCUUCCUCCUUUCAUAAACGCUUAAUUCCAUAACACCGUAGCAGUUCCGCUUCUGUGACUAAACUCUAACGAAUGCAACUACCCAAGCCUCCCCCCCCCGUCUACUGACGAAGAAAUCUCUGCAACUUUCCCUUCUCAGAUCUUCCUGCACAACCAAAUCUAGACCACUCAGUCCUUUCAUUACCUCCAACCAAGCCUUCUUUUAUCAGUUCUGAGCUGCCCAUCUUUGGAAACAAGCUGAAGUGUCCUUCAUUCUAUAAAGAAGCCAUAUCUCCCAAUUGAUCUUCCCAUUUGCAAAAGAGCAAGAUUUAAAUGAGAGAAAACACUAGAGUGGGUAUCAGAUUAACAAAUGCUAACACUAAUUUAACUAAGAACAAAAUAAGCUAAGAACAUUUAAGUAUUUCUGUGCUUUGGUUACAGAUGUGAAAAUGGAGAAAGAAAGAAUAAGAAUACAGAAAGAUUCUGAGAAAAGAUUUUGCUGAUGCAUGGUUUGUCCUAAAUGUUUUUUCCAUUGGGAAGUGGGAAGCUUCAUUUUUUUUUCUUAUCCAAAUAUAUCUAUAAAUUAUUUUUAAAUUUCUAGUGGGCAUAAAAAACUGCAUGUACAAUUUUUCCAAUACUAUUUUUUUUUCUUUUUCAAAAAAGAUCUUUCGCACCUUUUUGGCUAAAGUAGUUUCAAAAAUGAAUUUCACUGGUCUUGGUUCCCCAUUCAUAAUAUAAUAAUUUAGUUCUUCUCUGUUAUUUUCUAGCAGUUAAUGCUUACCAUUCUAGAUUUUGUCACUAAACUGUCCCAUGGGUGAGUCUGAUUUCUAUCACAUAUGUCCUGAAUUUACUCAUUAACUCUUUCUUUCUUCCUUCCUCCCUUUCUUUCUUAUCUUUUAGGGCCACACCCUUGGCAUAUGGAGGUUCCCAGGCUAGGGGCUGAAUCGGAGCUGUAGUUGCCAGCCUACACCACAGCCACGACAAUGACAGAUCCAAGCCGCAUCUGCGACCUACACCACAGCUCACGGCAACAUCGGAUAUUUAACCCACUGAGCGAGGCCAGGGAUCAAAGCUGCAUCCUCAUGGUCACUAGUAAGAUUCAUUUCCGCUGAGCCAUGACAGGAACUCCUUACUCAUUAAGUCUUUCAAUAAGUAUUUACCGAAAUCAAGCGCAGUUCAACACAAGAUAUCUGGCUAUAAAAUAUCUUUAAGUAGAAGAUCUCACUCUAAUAAAUUAAUCACAUUUAAAAAGAGCUAUUUAUCUUCCAAAAUGCUGCCCUAUAACAAAUCUUCCCUGGACUGUUGUUAUCUUAACAACCUUCGAAUCAAGAAAACUUAAAUCUCUUUUGACUCUUCAUUAUUUUCUAUUAUGUGGUGGGUUUCACAGAAUCACACAGCGGAUGUCCUUAAGAAAUUAACUAGGUUAGGGCAACUUACCAAAUUCAAAAAUGUUGAAGUCACUUUAUCACCGUCUAUUUCUAAUGAAUGGCAUAUUUAAGUCUGAACUCAGCUUCCUAGUUACCACCAGUGUUCAACAAACAGUAUGGAAUACAUUUUGGAGUUUGUGGUGCUCACUUAAGGAACAGUCUUAACAAACUCCUUAGGUACAUCCCUAAAUAAACUCUAACCCUAACUAAUCUACUCUUUCUCAAAUCAGAGAGCAAGAUUUAUGCAAGAUUUAUGUUUGGAGGUGAAAUCAACAGAAUG
This 4555-nucleotide long non-coding RNA is filed under the name Sus scrofa (pig). RNAcentral's name for it is "lncRNA (ENSSSCG00015038184.1)". Lineage: Eukaryota; Metazoa; Chordata; Mammalia; Artiodactyla; Suidae. The record is from RNAcentral.